RNAcentral lists this ribosomal RNA (373 nucleotides) under uncultured Bacteroidales bacterium. RNAcentral describes it as "bacterial SSU rRNA". It matches the Rfam family "Bacterial small subunit ribosomal RNA", at positions 22 to 394 of the family's 1533-position model. The record is from RNAcentral. Lineage: Bacteria; Pseudomonadati; Bacteroidota; Bacteroidia; Bacteroidales.
GCUCAGGAUGAACGCUAGCUACAGGCUUAACACAUGCAAGUCGAGGGGUAGCAGGGUAGCAAUACCGCUGACGACCGGCGCACGGGUGAGUAACACGUAUCCAACCUUCCCAUGACUCAGGGAUAGCCUUUCGAAAGAAAGAUUAAUACCUGAUAGUACUUUUUUAAGGCAUCUUGAAAAAGUUAAAGAUUUAUCGGUUAUGGAUGGGGAUGCGUUCCAUUAGAUAGUUGGUGAGGUAACGGCUCACCAAGUCUUCGAUGGAUAGGGGUUCUGAGAGGAAGGUCCCCCACAUUGGUACUGAGACACGGACCAAACUCCUACGGGAGGCAGCAGUGAGGAAUAUUGGUCAAUGGGCGAGAGCCUGAACCAGCCA